This 97-nucleotide microRNA precursor is filed under the name Paramuricea clavata. The record is from RNAcentral. Lineage: Eukaryota; Metazoa; Cnidaria; Anthozoa; Malacalcyonacea; Plexauridae.
GUUUGUGGAAACACCACACAAAUUUAUUACUGCAAAGCUUAAGGAUCGAAAGCUUUGCAGUAAUAAAUUUACGUGGUGUUUCCACAAACAAAACUAU